This 1557-nucleotide ribosomal RNA is filed under the name Ochromonas danica. RNAcentral's name for it is "16S ribosomal RNA". It matches the Rfam family "Bacterial small subunit ribosomal RNA". Lineage: Eukaryota; Chrysophyceae; Chromulinales; Chromulinaceae. The record is from RNAcentral.
UAAAUAAUUAGAGUUUGAUCCUGGCUCAGGAUGAACGCUAGCAAUAUACUUAACACAUGCUAGUUGAAUGUUGAUAAGACAUAGCGUACGGGUGCGUAUAACAUAAGAAUCUGCCUUUUGGUUUGGAAUAAUUUAUAAUAUAUUUUUAUUAUAAAAAUACUGAAUAUAAUAAAGACAUAAUGUUGCCUUAAGAUGAGCUUAUGUAGGAUUAGGUUGUUGGUGAGGUAAAGGCUUACCAAGCCGACGAUCCUUAGUUGAUCUGAGAGGAUGAUCAGCCACACUGGGACUGAGAUAAGGCCCAGGCUUAGUUGCCAGCAGUGAGGAAUAUUGGACAAUGGGCGAAAGCUUGAUCCAGUAAUAUUGCGUGAAUGAGGAAAGCAAAAAAGGUUUAGGCGAAAGUUUAAAUCGGUUGUAAAGUUCUUUCGUUAGUGAGGAUAGUGACUGUAACUAGAGAAGAAAUCCCGGCUAACUUCGUGCCAGCAGCCGCGGUAAUACGAAGGGGGUGAGCGUUAUCCGAAAUGAUUGGGCGUAAAGGGUUCGUAGACAGUAAUUGUUGUUGUGUGUGAAAUUUUAAUCUUGUUAAAAAUGCAUCCGAUACUCUUUUACUUGAGUGUAUUAGAAGAUAACAGAAUUUUAAAAGUAAGAGUGAAAUCUUUAGAUAUUUAAAGGAAUGUCAGGGGCGAAGGCGGUUAUCUAUAAUAUGAACUGACGUUGAGGAACGAAAGCAUGGGGAGCAAACAGGAUUAGAUACCCUGGUAGUCCAUGCUGUCAAUUAUGAAUGCUAACAUUGGGAUUUAGUUUCUGGUGUUAAGUUAACACGUUAAGCAUUCCGCCUGGGGAGUACGAUCGCAAGAUUGGAACUCAAAGGAAUUGACGGGAGUCUAUACAAGUGGUGGAGCAUGUGGUUUAAUGCGAUAAUACGCGCGAAAUCUUACCAGUUCUUGCAUAUGAAUUUUAAACAUGUUAAUAAUAUGUUUUUUUUUUAAUUUAUAAUUAAAUUUAUAAUAAAAUUAUACAGGUGCUGCAUGGCUGUCGUCAGCUCGUGCUGUGAAGUGUUUGGUUAAGUCCUUUAACGAGCGUAACUCUUGUUUUAUGUUGGUAUUUUUAUUUUUAUUUUUUAAAAAUAAACCACUCUUAAAAUACUGCCGACAAUAAGUUGGAGGAAGGGGAGAAUGACGUCAAGCCCUUAUGGCCCUUAUGAACUGGGCUACACAUGUGCUACAAUGGUAAUAAUAAAGAGCUAUACAAAAAAGCGAUUUUGAGUCAAUCUUUAAAUAUUGCCGUGUUCCGAUUGAAGACUGUAAUUCGUCUUCAUAAAGGCGGAAUCACAAGUAAUCGUAAAUCAGCAUGUUAUGGUGAAUAUGUACCUAGACUUUGCACACACCGCCCGUCACAUGCUAGGAAUGAAUUUUGUUUGAAAUGUAAAUAGCUUUUAAAAUUUAGACUUUGUUUAAGAGCUUUUCUUUUUUUUUAGGGGUUUCAUUUAUAUUAUUAUAGAGUUUAUAACUGGGAUGAAGUCGUAACAAGGUAGUCGUAUGGGAACAUGUGGCUGGAACA